Molecule: ribosomal RNA, 431 nt
Filed under: Vibrio penaeicida
Lineage: Bacteria; Pseudomonadati; Pseudomonadota; Gammaproteobacteria; Vibrionales; Vibrionaceae
Description: bacterial SSU rRNA
Rfam family: Bacterial small subunit ribosomal RNA
Source: RNAcentral
UGUUUGCCAGCACGUAAUGGUGGGAACUCCAGGGAGACUGCCGGUGAUAAACCGGAGGAAGGUGGGGACGACGUCAAGUCAUCAUGGCCCUUACGAGUAGGGCUACACACGUGCUACAAUGGCGCAUACAGAGGGCGGCCAACCAGCGAUGGUGAGCGAAUCCCAAAAAGUGCGUCGUAGUCCGGAUUGGAGUCUGCAACUCGACUCCAUGAAGUCGGAAUCGCUAGUAAUCGUGGAUCAGAAUGCCACGGUGAAUACGUUCCCGGGCCUUGUACACACCGCCCGUCACACCAUGGGAGUGGGCUGCAAAAGAAGUAGGUAGUUUAACCUUCGGGGGGACGCUUACCACUUUGUGGUUCAUGACUGGGGUGAAGUCGUAACAAGGUAGCCCUAGGGGAACCUGGGGCUGGAUCACCUCCUUAUACGAUGAU